Molecule: ribosomal RNA, 1191 nt
Filed under: Triticum aestivum (bread wheat)
Lineage: Eukaryota; Viridiplantae; Streptophyta; Magnoliopsida; Poales; Poaceae
Description: partial small subunit ribosomal RNA
Source: RNAcentral
AUGAUUGCACUGGACGAUAGAUUUGCUUUUUGUGCUCAGGUGGAUGAUGACAACAGGCUAAAAUCACUAAUGUGGACUAGUGGAAGGAGUAGAUCAUUAUAUAAUCACUUUGGAGAUGCAAUAACUUUUGACACUACGUAUGGAACAAAUAUCUACAAAAUGCCAUUUGGUAUGUUUGUAGGGGUUAGUAACCACUUUGAGAGUGUAAUCUUUGCUGGAGUGUUCUUGACUAAUGAGAAGGAAGAGAAUUUCCGUUGGGCUUUUAAGCAAUUUGUUGCUAUGAUGGGUGGAAAACCACCAAUUACAAUUCUUACAGAUCAGGCUAGAGCCAUUGGAAAUGCAGUCAUUCAAGAGCUUCCUAAUGCAGAACAUAGAUGGUGCAAAUGGCACGUUCUGAAGAGGGCUCAUGAACUUCUGGGAGCUGUUUACAGCAAGCAUAAAACAUUUGCCGAUGAUUUCCAUAAGCUAGUCAACCACAUGCUAACUAUAAAGGAGUUUGAAGAUGCAUGGCAAUUUGUUACGGAAAAGUAUGGUUUACAGGAGCAUCCUUUCAUGACUAGAGCCUACGAGUGUAGGCACAAAUGGGCAAAACCAUACUUUAGUAAAGUAUUUUGUGCUAGAAUGUGUAGCACUCAACGUAGUGAAUGUGCAAACUUUAUGCUGAAGAUACAUAUUGUAUGUAAUUCUUCAAUAAAUGCAUUCAUUACACAGUACACAAAGCUUAUAGACGAUCGUGAGAGUUGUGAUGCAGAUGCUGAAAGGAAAAACAAACAGAAAAUAAUAAAGGUCCAUUUUGGAUAUCCAAUGGAGAAGCAUGCUUCAGUUAUAUAUACAGCAAAGGUUUAUAAUCUAUUCAAGAAGGAGCUCAUUAAGUCUACAUCAUACCUUGUGCUUCCUAGUCUGGAGGAACAUACAUUUGUUGUGAAGCAUGUCCAGGUGGAGGCUAGGGAAUCAUGGUCUAAAGUAAUUUACAAAAUCAAAGUAGAUGAGUCAAUUGGAUAUUACACAUGUGAAUGUGGACUUUACGAACAUUUUGGUGUUCUGUGUAGCCACGUCCUUGCGGUCUUUGUUAACAGAGGUGUGUGCAAAAUUCCUGAUUGUCACAUAAUGAAGCGGUGGACAAAGCAAGCUAGGUCAUCUAUUUUCAAUAAUAACUUGGAGAAAUAUAUUGGCGACACUAACGAGGAAUAG